UUAACAGUUGCGCCGUUCGCUGAGAAAUAGGUACGCCAGAGUGACUUCGGCGGGCGCCAAAAGGCCUCACCCCCUCCCAGGGGGGCCCGCCGAGGCAACGGGGUAAAAAGAUUCACAGGUGGUUUUGGGAGCUGUGGCUCUCUAAUGAUCCCUCCGCUGGUUCACCAACGGAGA
This 174-nucleotide unclassified non-coding RNA is filed under the name uncultured fungus. RNAcentral's name for it is "sequence contains ITS1". The record is from RNAcentral. Lineage: Eukaryota; Fungi.